Molecule: ribosomal RNA, 433 nt
Filed under: uncultured bacterium
Lineage: Bacteria
Description: partial 16S ribosomal RNA
Rfam family: Bacterial small subunit ribosomal RNA
Source: RNAcentral
AGCGAACGCUGGCGGCAGGCCUAACACAUGCAAGUCGAACGAACUCUUCGGAGUUAGUGGCGGACGGGUGAGUAACACGUGGGAACGUGCCUUUUGGUUCGGAAUAACUCAGGGAAACUUGUGCUAAUACCGAAUGUGCCCUUCGGGGGAAAGAUUUAUCGCCAUUAGAGCGGCCCGCGUCUGAUUAGCUAGUUGGUGAGGUAACGGCUCACCAAGGCGACGAUCAGUAGCUGGUCUGAGAGGAUGACCAGCCACACUGGGACUGAGACACGGCCCAGACUCCUACGGGAGGCAGCAGUGGGGAAUCUUGCGCAAUGGGCGAAAGCCUGACGCAGCCAUGCCGCGUGAAUGAUGAAGGUCUCAGGAUUGUAAAAUUCUUUCACCGGGGACGAUAAUGACGGUACCCGGAGAAGAAGCCCCGGCUAACUUCGUG